CCGAGUUAGGGUCUCCCUCGCGGGGCCCGACCUCCCAACCCUGUGUCUAAUAAACCUGUACGUGUUGCUUCGGCGGACCGGUAGUCCCCCUUCCGGGGAGGACCGCCGCCGGGGGAUCAACGGUGUCACAGCCGCCCCUGGAGAGCCGUCCGCCGAUGGCCCAACCCCCCAAAACUCUUAUACCUGAACAUAUGUACCCUUCUGAAUCGAACCUUUUGAUAUACCAAUCAAAAACA
Molecule: unclassified non-coding RNA, 236 nt
Filed under: uncultured Capnodiales
Lineage: Eukaryota; Fungi; Ascomycota; Dothideomycetes; Capnodiales
Description: sequence contains ITS1
Source: RNAcentral